AUGUUUUGCAAUCUUUUGUAAUUCAGUCUGUUUACAUAUAAUUGUUCAUUGAAUCUCUUAAUAGAGGAAAUAAAGAAAUGAAUGAAAGAAAGGGCUCAUUUAUGAGAACAUAACUUUUCGAAAAUGAAAAUCAAAACGUUCCUUCUAUUACACAUAUAUAAUCUAUAAAUAAUAAUAGCGUAAUAAUCCUGAUUCACUUAGUUUUAGUUUGUUACCUGGAUUUUGAUCUUUUAAAUUGAUUUAUGGUAUUUGUACACCGGUAAACUGAUUGUAAAUUUUAAUUGUAAUGUAUCCAGUUAUUAACACUGACUAUCCUAGGUAGAGAAUACCACAUAUAUAUACCACAAUACAGUUGGUGUUUCAGAGAUCUACAUAAGCGAAACAUGUCGGACAAGUUACGACCAAGACAUGAAUUGGAACAGGCAUUCGAUAGUAUUGCCAAACAUUUUGAAUUUAAAGAUGCCCAUUUAGAGUUGAUGUCUGACGGAAGGCAAGCAGACUUACUUACUUUCAUCAAAGAGCAUUUCCAUCCUGAUGAACCCCUAAUAAAAAGUAUCGGUUAUACUGCUGACGAAGAAUAUGAUCAACUUGUCACAAUGGCACACAAAGAUAAUCUGUCUCUCUUGCUUGUAUCUGAUAAAACCAAUGAGAUUAUUGCAUGCAGAACCAUUAGUUUGGCACAUA
This is a long non-coding RNA of Mytilus californianus (California mussel), 684 nucleotides long. RefSeq lists it as uncharacterized. The record is from RefSeq and is a predicted model, not a curated record. NCBI's taxonomy places the organism in Eukaryota, Metazoa, Mollusca, Bivalvia, Mytilida, Mytilidae. The transcript is spliced from 2 exons.